GUGGAUAUUAGGCGAAGGAUGGAAAUCCAAGUUCUGCAGCCUCCAGCAAGGACACGCGUGCUGGCUUCCGGGACCGGCAGGACUUGGGGGCUGCGGGAGGGCUGCACUCAGCGGCCCUGCCAGCUCAGAGCUUCCUCUCCAACCCAAGCUCCCCCGGGCCGCGCCAGUCUUCUCAGACUCCCCUCUGCUCCAGGCUUCACACCCUCGUCCGCAUCUCUUGGCUGCUGUUCGGACUAUUUCCAGGGCUAGGCCAUCACAGGGGACUGCCAGGAAUUGAAUGCAUGUUUGGAGAGAACCCAGACCAGUCCAGAUAUUUGGAGUUCCAGGCUGGAGGCCUCCGGAAAGUCAAGACAGUCCAUGGGGAACAGCACCCUGGCCGCUGAAGCCCCGCCUCCCCCACCUAAAUCAACACGGCUGUGCACCCCUCCUGCCUGCCCCUUCUGCCCUCUGAACACAGAACACAUCGUCCCUCUCCACCCCCAGGCGUCCCCGAGGCUUCCUUCUGCUCCGUUUCUUCUGAACGUGCACUGCUGUUUCUGCUGUUGGCACAGGUGUGGGGAGUCUGGGCCAGGAAGGGGGGCGCUCACUGCCGAGCAGGUGGAGGCCAACGGGGCCCCUGCCUUCCCUUCCUUCCACCUGCCCCGUGUCCCUCUCUUCCCGCCAGCUCCAGCCCGAUCCCAUCACUCUCUGUCUUCUGCAUUGGUUGGCUGGGAGCUGGAAUACUCCGAGGGUUACUGGCCUUUAAAACACCAAGGACAACACCCUCUAACGACAAGCUCACAGCAGACCUGA
Molecule: long non-coding RNA, 792 nt
Filed under: Capra hircus (goat)
Lineage: Eukaryota; Metazoa; Chordata; Mammalia; Artiodactyla; Bovidae
Description: lncRNA (ENSCHIG00000008165.1)
Source: RNAcentral